CCUACGGGAGGCAGCAGUAGGGAAUUUUCCACAAUGGGCGAAAGCCUGAUGGAGCAAUACCGCGUGCAGGAUGGAGGCCUUCGGGUCGUAAACUGCUUUUAUGUGCGAAGAAUUUGACGGUAACACAUGAAUAAGGAUCGGCUAACUACGUGCCAGCAGCCGCGGUCAUACGUAGGAUCCAAGCGUUAUCCGGAAUUACUGGGCGUAAAGAGUUGCGUAGGUGGCAUUAUAAGUGGAGCGUGAAAGCGUGCGGCUCAACCGCAUUAUUGCGUUCCAAACUGUGAAGCUUGAGUAUGGGAGAGGUAGAUGGAAUUUCUAGUGUAGGAGUGAAAUCCGUAGAUAUUAGAAGGAACACCGAUGGCGUAGGCAGUCUACUGGCCCAUUACUGACACUAAGGCACGAAAGCGUGGGGAGCAAACGGGAUUAGAUACCCCGGUAGUCCACGCUGUAAACUAUGGAUGCUAGCUGUGACACACAUCGACCUGUGUCGUAGCGAAGUUAACGCGUUAAGCAUCCCGCCUGGGGAGGUACGGUCGCGAGAGUAAACUACAAGAAGUAGACGCGUGAGAGUGCGACGACGACGACGAGGGAGAGG
RNAcentral lists this ribosomal RNA (595 nucleotides) under uncultured bacterium. RNAcentral's name for it is "bacterial SSU rRNA". It matches the Rfam family "Bacterial small subunit ribosomal RNA", at positions 338 to 950 of the family's 1533-position model. The record is from RNAcentral.